Molecule: transfer RNA, 73 nt
Filed under: Scopus umbretta (hamerkop)
Lineage: Eukaryota; Metazoa; Chordata; Aves; Pelecaniformes; Scopidae
Description: tRNA-Asn
Source: RNAcentral
CUAGACAGGCGGGCCUCGAUCCCGCAAAAUCCUAGUUAACAGCUAGAUGCCUAAACCAACGGGCUUCCGUCUA